UUGCUUCAGAAGCAUAUAUACUAAAAUUGGAGCAAUACAAAUAAGGUUAGUGUGGAUCCUGCACAAAGAUGACACACAAAACUCAAACAGAUGCAGCAUUGUGUC
Molecule: small nuclear RNA, 105 nt
Organism: Ochotona princeps (American pika)
Lineage: Eukaryota; Metazoa; Chordata; Mammalia; Lagomorpha; Ochotonidae
Source: Ensembl